This 497-nucleotide ribosomal RNA is filed under the name uncultured bacterium. RNAcentral's name for it is "partial 16S ribosomal RNA". It matches the Rfam family "Bacterial small subunit ribosomal RNA", at positions 28 to 507 of the family's 1533-position model. The record is from RNAcentral.
GAUGAACGCUGGCGGCGUGCCUAAUACAUGCCAGUCGAGCGAACAGACGAGGAGCUUGCUCCUCUGACGUUAGCGGCGGACGGGUGAGUAACACGUGGAUAACCUACCUAUAAGACUGGGAUAACUUCGGGAAACCGGAGCUAAUACCGGAUAAUAUAUUGAACCGCAUGGUUCAAUAGUGAAAGACGGUUUUGCUGUCACUUAUAGAUGGAUCCGCGCCGCAUUAGCUAGUUGGUAAGGUAACGGCUUACCAAGGCGACGAUGCGUAGCCGACCUGAGAGGGUGAUCGGCCACACUGGAACUAAGACACGGUCCAGACUCCUACGGGAGGCAGCAGUAGGGAAUCUUCCGCAAUGGGCGAAAGCUUGACGGAGCAACGCCGCGUGAGUGAUGAAGGUCUUCGGAUCGUAAAACUCUGUUAUUAGGGAAGAACAAAUGUGUAAGUAACUAUGCACGUCUUGACGGUACCUAAUCAGAAAGCCACGGCUAACUACGUG